This 1244-nucleotide ribosomal RNA is filed under the name human gut metagenome. RNAcentral describes it as "bacterial LSU rRNA". It matches the Rfam family "Bacterial large subunit ribosomal RNA", at positions 1285 to 2524 of the family's 2925-position model. The record is from RNAcentral.
GAAGUGCGAAUGCUGACAUAAGUAACGAUAAAGCGGGUGAAAAGCCCGCUCGCCGCAAGCCCAAGGUUUCCUGCUCUACGUUCAUCGGAGCAGGGUGAGUCGGCCCCUAAGGCCAGGCUGAGAAGCGUAGUCGAUGGGAAUCAGGUUAAUAAUCCUGAACCGCAUCAGAAUGCGAUGGGGGGACGGAGUUUGGAAGGUCAUCCGGGUGUUGGAUAUCCCGGUUUGUGAGAGUAGGAGGUUCGCAGGCAAAUCCGCGGACAUAUCUCCGAGUCAAAGCAUCGAGCUUUCGUUAGAAAGUGAAGUGAUUGGAAGAACUUCCAGGAAAAGCCUCUAAGCUUCAGUUUUGAUGUGACCGUACCGUAAACCGACACUGGUGGGCGAGUUGAAUAUACUAAGGCGCUUGAGAGAACUCGGGAGAAGGAACUCGGCAAAUUGACACCGUAACUUCGGAAGAAGGUGUGCCCGUGUAACGAGGCAAGGGGAAACCCCUUGAGCGUGAAAGGGUCUCAGAGAAAUGGUGGCUGCGACUGUUUAUCAAAAACACAGCACUCUGCAAAGACGAAAGUCGACGUAUAGGGUGUGAUGCCUGCCCGGUGCUGGAAGAUUAAGUGAUGAGCUGCAAGGUUCUGAUCGAAGUCCCAGUAAACGGCGGCCGUAACUAUAACGGUCCUAAGGUAGCGAAAUUCCUUGUCGGGUAAGUUCCGACCUGCACGAAUGGCAUAACGAUGGCCACACUGUCUCCUCCCGAGACUCAGUGAAGUUGAAAUGUUUGUGAUGAUGCAAUCUCCCCGCGGCUAGACGGACAGACCCCAUGAACCUUUACUGUAGCUUUACAUUGGACUUUGAACCGAUCUGUGUAGGAUAGGCGGGAGGCUGUGAACGAAGUACGCCAGUACGUCGGGAGCCGACGUUGAAAUACCGCCCUGAUUUGUUUGAGGUUCUAACCGCGAUCGGUUAUCCCGGUCCGGGACCGUGUAUGGUAGGCAGUUUGACUGGGGCGGUCUCCUCCUAAAGGGUAACGGAGGAGUACAAAGGUACGCUAGGUACGGUCGGAAAUCGUGCUGAUAGUGCAAUGGCAUAAGCGUGCUUGACUGCGAGACCGACAAGUCGAGCAGAUGCGAAAGCAGGUCAUAGUGAUCCGGUGGCUUCUGAAUGGAAGGGCCAUCGCUCAACGGAUAAAAGGUACUCUGGGGAUAACAGGCUGAUACCGCCCAAGAGUUCAUAUCGACGGCGGUGUUUGGCAC